UACAGAGGUCCCAAGCGUUGUUCGGAUUCACUGGGCGUAAAGGGUGCGUAGGCGGUCGGGUAAGUCUGAUGUGAAAUCUCCAAGCCUAACUUGGAAACUGCAUUGGAUACUCUCCGGCUAGAGGAAUGGAGGGGAGACUGGAAUACUUGGUGUAGCAGUGAAAUGCGUAGAUAUCAAGUGGAACACCAGUGGCGAAGGCGAGUCUCUGGACAUUUCCUGACGCUGAGGCACGAAAGCCAGGGGAGCAAACGGG
Molecule: ribosomal RNA, 253 nt
Filed under: uncultured bacterium
Lineage: Bacteria
Description: partial 16S ribosomal RNA
Rfam family: Bacterial small subunit ribosomal RNA
Source: RNAcentral